AUACGUAGGGGGCAAGCGUUGUCCGGAAUUACUGGGCGUAAAGCGCACGCAGGCUGACUUAUAAGUCGGUAGUCUAAUGCGGAGGCUCAACUUCCGUUUAUCUAUCGAUACUGUAAGACUAGAGUAUGCGAGAGGGAAGCGGAAUUCCCGGUGUAGCGGUGAAAUGCGUGGAUAGUGGAAGGAACACCAGUGGCGAAGGCGACUCCCGGGCACAUAUCGGACGCCAAUGUGCGAAAGCAAGGGUAGCGAACGGGAUUAGAUACCCCGGUAGUCCUUGCCGUAAACGAUGAAUACUAGGUGUGGGGAUCGCAGGGCGUCCUUGUCGGAGCUAACGCGUUAAGUAUCCCGCCUGGGGACUACGGUCGCAAGACUGAAACUUAAAGGAAUUGACGGGG
This 395-nucleotide ribosomal RNA is filed under the name uncultured bacterium. RNAcentral's name for it is "partial 16S ribosomal RNA". It matches the Rfam family "Bacterial small subunit ribosomal RNA", at positions 523 to 918 of the family's 1533-position model. The record is from RNAcentral.